RNAcentral lists this ribosomal RNA (182 nucleotides) under Escherichia coli. RNAcentral's name for it is "partial 23S ribosomal RNA". It matches the Rfam family "Bacterial large subunit ribosomal RNA", at positions 2767 to 2925 of the family's 2925-position model. Lineage: Bacteria; Pseudomonadati; Pseudomonadota; Gammaproteobacteria; Enterobacterales; Enterobacteriaceae. The record is from RNAcentral.
AGUGCUGAAAGCAUCUAAGCACGAAACUUGCCCCGAGAUGAGUUCUCCCUGACUCCUUGAGAGUCCUGAAGGAACGUUGAAGACGACGACGUUGAUAGGCCGGGUGUGUAAGCGCAGCGAUGCGUUGAGCUAACCGGUACUAAUGAACCGUGAGGCUUAACCUUACAACGCCGAAGGUGUUU